AGCCACGGGGUCCAGGGCCUGGAGACAAGCCUUUCUCAGCCACUUAUCCCCUUAUAAGUCUUUAUGGGUUGCAGCAAGUGGGGUUGAGGUCAAGGCAGAGAGGACCUAAGGGAGGCGGAGUCUGUCUUGAUGGUAAAUCUGGGCCUACAGGCCUUCUGUGUACCCAGUGCCCCAGGGGCCCCCUCACAGCCCUGCUGGAACCCCACUGGGUGAACUCAUCUGUUUGCUUGCUGUCUUCCCAGCUAGGAGGACUGGGGGAAGGGACCUGCCUGGCUGGCAAGCGUCAGGUGCUCAACCAUGUUGAAUAAGUAGAUGCACCGAGGGAGGAGGCCAGCGCCUGUUGCACUGGAGAAAGAACUGUUCGGUCUGAGCUUGAGGAUCUGAGGAACAGGGCCUGCCACAGGCCGGAGCUUCCAAGUGGAAGUCGAGGGGGUGCCCCAAGAAGGGUCAGAAGAAAAGAGGGUCCAGAGCCAGGCAUCACUCACCAGUUAUAUGACCUUCUGCAAGAGGCUGCCCUCCCCCGCAGACAGUUCACUCAUAGGUCAGUGAUGUCACUUCUCAGAGACACAAUGAGGCUGGAACAAGAGGUCCUGUGUGAAAGAUCUCGUGAACUCUCUACGCUCAUACUCCAUGAGGGUGGAAUGUUCUCCUUGUGAAAGUCCUUCCUGGCACCGGGCCAUAGUCUUUCCUGUUGCAAGACUGCCCUUCUUGGGCUCCAAUCAAAGCUUGCAACUUUGUAAAAGGUAAGUAAAGAUGCUGAUAAUAAUAUAAACUCUAAGGGAAAUA
Molecule: long non-coding RNA, 786 nt
Filed under: Ictidomys tridecemlineatus (thirteen-lined ground squirrel)
Lineage: Eukaryota; Metazoa; Chordata; Mammalia; Rodentia; Sciuridae
Description: lncRNA (ENSSTOG00000031667.1)
Source: RNAcentral